AAAGUCGUAACAAGGUUUCCGUAGGUGAACCUGCGGAAGGAUCAUUACCAAAUCCAAAUACCCAAACCCCAUGUGAACUAUUGUAUAGUCUGUCUUUGGGAGAAAACCAUCCAAGAAAAAAUUAAAGCUUUUAUUAGCCUUUUUUUUUUCUUGGAUUUUUCCCCCAAUAGAGUCCGGCGCAACUUUAUUGUUGUGUCCAGAUUCGAAACCCUAAACCACUUGAUUUUUCUGUUGGAAUUUUCUUUUUUUAAUUAUAAAUAAAAGACAACUUUUAACGGCGGAUCUCUUGGCUCGU
Molecule: unclassified non-coding RNA, 295 nt
Filed under: Glomeromycotina sp.
Lineage: Eukaryota; Fungi; Glomeromycota
Description: partial contains small subunit ribosomal RNA, internal transcribed spacer 1, and 5.8S ribosomal RNA
Rfam family: Eukaryotic small subunit ribosomal RNA (bases 1-47)
Source: RNAcentral